UACGGAGGGGGCUAGCGUUGCUCGGAAUCACUGGGCGUAAAGGGUGCGUAGGCGGGUCUUUAAGUCAGAGGUGAAAUCCUGGAGCUCAACUCCAGAACUGCCUUUGAUACUGAAGAUCUUGAGUUCGGGAGAGGUGAGUGGAACUGCGAGUGUAGAGGUGAAAUUCGUAGAUAUUCGCAAGAACACCAGUGGCGAAGGCGGCUCACUGGCCCGAUACUGACGCUGAGGCACGAAAGCGUGGGGAGCAAACAGG
This 253-nucleotide ribosomal RNA is filed under the name uncultured bacterium. RNAcentral describes it as "partial 16S ribosomal RNA". It matches the Rfam family "Bacterial small subunit ribosomal RNA", at positions 524 to 776 of the family's 1533-position model. The record is from RNAcentral.